Molecule: ribosomal RNA, 495 nt
Filed under: uncultured bacterium
Lineage: Bacteria
Description: partial 16S ribosomal RNA
Rfam family: Bacterial small subunit ribosomal RNA
Source: RNAcentral
GAUGAACGCUGGCGGCGUGCUUAACACAUGCAAGUCGAGCGAAGCACUUAAGAAUGAUUCUUCGGAUGAGCUCUUUUAUGACUGAGCGGCGGACGGGUGAGUAACGCGUGGGUAACCUGCCUCAUACAGGGGGAUAACAGUUAGAAAUGACUGCUAAUACCGCAUAAGCGCACAGUGCCGCAUGGCACCGUGUGAACAACUCCGGUGGUAUGGGAUGGACCCGCGUUGGAUUAGGCAGUUGGCGGGGUAACGGCCCACCAAACCGACGAUCCAUAGCCGGCCUGAGAGGGUAGACGGCCACAUUGGGACUGAGACACGGCCCAAACUCCUACGGGAGGCAGCAGUGGGGAAUAUUGCACAAUGGGUGAAACCCUGAUGCAGCGACGCCGCGUGAGUGGAGAAGUAAUUCGUUAUGUAAAGCUCUAUCAGCAGUGAAGAAAAUGACGGUACCUGACUAAGAAGCCCCGGCUAACUACGUGCCAGCCGCCGCGGUAA